UGGGGAAUAUUGCACAAUGGGCGAAAGCCUGAUGCAGCGACGCCGCGUGCGGGAUGAAGGCCUUCGGGUUGUAAACCGCUUUUGAUUGGGAGCAAGCGAGAGUGAGUGUACCUUUCGAAUAAGCACCGGCUAACUACGUGCCAGCAGCCGCGGUAAUACGUAGGGUGCAAGCGUUAUCCGGAAUUAUUGGGCGUAAAGAGCUCGUAGGCGGUUUGUCGCGUCUGGUGUGAAAGUCCAUCGCUUAACGGUGGAUCUGCGCCGGGUACGGGCAGGCUAGAGUGCGACAGGGGAGACUGGAAUUCCCGGUGUAACGGUGGAAUGUGUAGAUAUCGGGAAGAACACCAAUGGCGAAGGCAGGUCUCUGGGUCGUCACUGACGCUGAGGAACGAAAGCGUGGGGAGCGAACAGGAUUAGAUACCCUGGUAGUCCACGCCGUAAACGGUGGAUGCUGGAUGUGGGGCCCAUUCCACGGGUUCCGUGUCGGAGCUAACGCGUUAAGCAUCCCGCCUGGGGAGUACGGCCGCAAGGCUAAAAC
This 535-nucleotide ribosomal RNA is filed under the name uncultured bacterium. RNAcentral's name for it is "partial 16S ribosomal RNA". It matches the Rfam family "Bacterial small subunit ribosomal RNA", at positions 355 to 900 of the family's 1533-position model. The record is from RNAcentral.